AUCGAUUUGUCUCCCUAGCUCUCAGUUUUGUAAACUUUUUAACAGUUCCACAUUUUCUGGCCUGUUUCAAAAAUCAGAUAAUGGAGUGAGAAUUCAAAGUAGUAAUAUAAGGAAGAAAGGAAACAGAUUGUGCUGCGAUGAAUUACUUCACAAGUCGUCAAACAAGUUUUUCUUAUACAUGAUUUGAAAAGAAAAUGGGUCUUCUAAUCGGACAAAUCAGAAAGAAAUUUUCUGAAAAGGUGUUAUUUUUCUUUUGUUGUUCUUCUUCUAGUUAUCUUUGUAUGGAAAUUAUUGUUUAUUUCCUUCUGUUUAUGGUUUAAUAUUUUUUUGUUGGAAUUCAUUCUUUUCAUUGGCAGAUGAAGAAUCCCUUGCAAAUUUAAGGAGUCAAGUCUUUGAAAAGCU
Molecule: long non-coding RNA, 402 nt
Filed under: Brassica rapa (field mustard)
Lineage: Eukaryota; Viridiplantae; Streptophyta; Magnoliopsida; Brassicales; Brassicaceae
Description: long non-coding RNA (BRAP_LNC000914)
Source: RNAcentral